GAGGUGGCAGCUGGGCAAACUGUCUCCAGACCACCACUGUAGGGAGAAGGGACCCGAUGCCAUGACACUGGCGGAGUGGAGAAAACAUUCCCACCACUGAGGAGUUUGCUAUGAGGGUUAUCAUGGAAGUUUCCUAGCAUUGAGAGGAAAGAGAAACAGUGACCAGAGACUUUCUCCUAAUAUGCAGGAAGGACAAUGUGGAGACCAAGACUAAUCUGGGUGAUGAGCUCCAGGCCUGCCUCAAAACAGGAGCUGAUGGGAGAGCUCAAAUGGGAAAGGUA
RNAcentral lists this long non-coding RNA (281 nucleotides) under Piliocolobus tephrosceles (Ugandan red Colobus). RNAcentral describes it as "lncRNA (ENSPTEG00000029924.1)". The record is from RNAcentral. Lineage: Eukaryota; Metazoa; Chordata; Mammalia; Primates; Cercopithecidae.